AGAGAGAGAGAGAGAGAGAGAGAGAGAGAGAGAGGGGGGGCACGGAGGAAAUAGACAGACAGACCGUUGGACUACCUGUCGACAUUCCCUCUCUAUCCACCUUUGACCAUCAAUUUAUAUAUAGUGACACCAGCCAUCCAUGCCCAGGAGCUGUUUUAGCCUUGUUAUCUACCUUUGGUCACCCUCUCUCACACACCUUCCAGUCUUCCACUUGAGGCUCCCUGUUGGUCCGGCUCAUUCCCCACAGUGCCAGGUUCGCCGGCUCCCUGUUGGUCCGGCUCAUCCCCCACAGUGCCAGGUUCGCCGGCUCCCUGUUGGUCCGGCUCAUCCCCCACAGUGCCAGGUUCGCUGGUAAGUCCCCUCUCCGUUUUAGACACUUUCCGUCUCUC
Long non-coding RNA from Aplysia californica (California sea hare), 389 nucleotides. RefSeq lists it as uncharacterized. Lineage: Eukaryota; Metazoa; Mollusca; Gastropoda; Aplysiida; Aplysiidae. The transcript is spliced from 3 exons. The record is from RefSeq and is a predicted model, not a curated record.